AACGAACGCUGGCGGCAGACCUAACACAUGCAAGUCGAGCGAGGACUUCGGUCCUAGCGGCGGACGGGUGAGUAACGCGUGGGAACGUGCCCUUUGCUUCGGAAUAGCCCUGGGAAACUGGGAGUAAUACCGGAUGAGCCCUUUGGGGGAAAGAUUUAUCGGCGAAGGAUCGGCCCGCGUUGGAUUAGGUAGUUGGUGGGGUAAUGGCCUACCAAGCCGACGAUCCAUAGCUGGUUUGAGAGGAUGAUCAGCCACACUGGGACUGAGACACGGCCCAGACUCCUACGGGAGGCAGCAGUGGGGAAUCUUAGACAAUGGGGGAAACCCUGAUCUAGCCAUGCCGCGUGAGCGAUGAAGGCCUUAGGGUUGUAAAGCUCUUUCAGCUGGGAAGAUAAUGACGGUACCAGCAGAAGAAGCCCCGGCUAACUCCGUG
Molecule: ribosomal RNA, 433 nt
Filed under: uncultured bacterium
Lineage: Bacteria
Description: partial 16S ribosomal RNA
Rfam family: Bacterial small subunit ribosomal RNA
Source: RNAcentral